Molecule: long non-coding RNA, 18888 nt
Organism: Columba livia (rock pigeon)
Lineage: Eukaryota; Metazoa; Chordata; Aves; Columbiformes; Columbidae
Exons: 2
Source: RefSeq, a predicted model, not a curated record
CCGGGCGGGGAACCCCGGCGAGGGGCGGAGAGACGGCAGCCGGGGCUGUGCGGGGAGGGGGAGGGGAAGCGGAGUGGGGGAGAGAUGGAGCCCGAGGGGCGGCUGCGGGGACGGGAGCGAGUCCGGGCAGAACGAGGGGAGGGGGCGGAGGUGAAUGAGGCGGUGAGGCUGCUGGAGAGGGGGGCGCUGGGUCCGCGGAGAACGAGGGGCUGCAGAGGGGGCUCCAGGCACAACGAGGAGGGCUCGGUGGAGGCGGGACCGGCGAGAGGCCGCCGAGGGGGGAAAGGGGAGCACGGUCCUUCGAGGCGCUGGCCCCGCGUUGCGAAAGCCCUGGAGCGCGGCGUCCCAGCAAGAGCCGGUGCGGGAAGUCCCCGGGGCCAGAAGGGACUUUCCCUCCCGGUGGCGACCCCCGCGGCCGCUCCGCCAGCCGGGGAGGCUCCGGAGGUGGCCGGGCCGGCCCAUGCACCGCGGGCCACAGGGCCGGCCUCUGCCCGCAGCCGUGCCGCCGGCUUUCGGCCUCAGCCUGCGGUACAGCUGCGGGGUCUGGCCUCGGGUUUGCCCGGGCAAGCGGUGAAAAAACGCCCGGAAAUCCCUGUGCAGUGCGUUGGGUCUGCAUCGGCAGCUGCAGGGAGGCUUUGGGCUGGGGCACAGCAGCACAUCUCCCCUCAAAGGCUGCCCACCUCUGCAGGUUUUGAGGAGAAAUUUGCUUAGGAGAGACCCCGAAGAGACCAAAGAUUUCAGAUUCGUUUCACCAGCUGGUGUUUAUACCCUCAGGAUUGCACAUGGAGAUGAGAGUUGGUGGGAGUAAAAACAGGUGCCUGAUGCUGAACAACCCAGCACCUGUUGCCAUCCUUGUGGUGAAUAACCUUUAUCAGCAGCACAGAACCUGUUAACCAAGGGUGUUGCUGUUCCAGAGCUUACACUGGUGUAGUGUUUCUCAUAGGAGUACGGUAAGCUGGCCUGAUGUCAAGUAUUUUUGGAUUGGUUUAGUUAUGUCCAUACUGUUGUGUUAGAACCACUUGGGAGGAAAAAAGCCUUAAACCAGUGCAAAAAUAAAGCCUAGGUUACAUUUGAUUAUUAUUUGAAAUAACGUUUAUCGUGCGUAUAUGUAUGCAUAUAUAUAAUGUAUGCAACACGGUGCUUUCGAUGUGCACACAGCCUUAUUGCACCAGGUUCAGCACAAUCACAGGAGGUGUUUCUGGACCAAGAAGGACAUCUGCCCAGUUACAGAGCAAGUGAAAAUCAGGGCAGUGUGACAGAGCCGCCUCCUGUGUUAGCACUGUAGCUGCUCGUGUCAGGGUAAAUAGGCACAGCAAUGAAGAAUUUACAGGAAUCAGAACAUGAUGAAAUUAGAAGAUACUGAACUUCAAAGUCGAGACGCUCAGUUCCACUGGUGAUGGAUUGGAAAACUCAUGAUACUGGUGCGUAGAAAAUGCAAGAUACAAAGUUUCAGCCUCUCUGAAAAGUGGGUGUAAGUUGAAACAGUAGGUUGCAAUCAAAUCUAGGGAAAAAAAACCUGUAAGGGUAAUCAAAUAUUGGAAGUGCUUGGGGCAGAGACCUUCUGAGGUCCCUCCCGACAUGAAUUAUGCUGCAGUUCAGCUUUUUCAAGGGAGAAGGUUGUUAUUUUGUCACCUAUUCCAAAGAUUAGGAGGAAAACACUUGCCUAAGGUACAGGUCUGGGGUGUAUUUGCUAUUUUAUCUUGUAAAUAAUAUAAAUACUACAUGUUUAAGGACGGUGAAAAAUCUGUGUGGAAGUUGAGAGAAUACAAUUUUUUUGUUUUUUACUUGUACGGAGGUAUAUCCUACAACCUUAAGACACUGGGUUUGCUCUGAAGAAAGUGAUGUUCCAGCUUUAACAUGCCUGCACUUUAUAGUUUUCAUAUACAUUAGUAGGAAAAGUAGAAAAACUACAUGGACUUAAUUUUAUAUUUUCAACAUUGUUAUGCUACAGUCAGAGCUAAGUGGAAAAUUUGGAGCAAGAUUGCUUUUGCUGACUGUCAAAAUAUUUUGUAGAAAUGUAUGAUGAAGCCCUAGUAAUCGUAGAAUCACAUCAUAGAAUCCUAAAAUGGUCUGGGUUGGAAGGGACCUCGAAGACCAUCUAGUCCAACCCCCUGGCCAUGGGCAGGGACACCUUUCGACAGACCAGGUUGCUCAAAACCCCAUCCAGCCUGCCCUUGAAUACUUCCAGGGAUGGGGCAUCCACAGCUUCUCUGGGCAGCCUGUUCCAGUGCCUCACCACCCACAUGGGGAAGAAUUUCUUCUGUAUUUUCAAUCUAAAUCUUCCCUCUUUCAUUUUAAAGCCAUUACCCCUUAUCAUGUCACUAUAAGCCCUUAUAAAAAUUCCCUCUCCAGCUUUCUUGUAGGUCCCUUGAGGUACAUAUAGGCUGCUAUAAGGUCUCUCCGGAGCCUUCUCCAGACUGAACAACCCAACUCUCUCAGUCUGUCUUCAUGGGAGAGGAGCUCCAGCCGCUGAUCAUCUUCAUGGCCUCCUCUGGGCUCAUUCAGGCAGGUCCCUGUCCUUCUUAUGUACCGGAAAAAGCUUUUUUGGUUUCCUGUCAGUUCAAACAUUGAACUGCAAGGAAACUCAGAAAUCCUGUGUCUGCAGAUGGGGCAGCAAUGUCCUUAAAGCAAACGUCAGAGGAAUUUAGUUAGCUGUCAAACAGAAUAGUUCAUAAUACAGUUACAUUUGUAGUAUUGUAUCAGUGUACUAAAAUCAUGAAUUGCAUCUGAUUACUGUAACCUUGGAUGAAGCCAGCACUCCCCCCAGGAAAACACCACUGACUUAAGGGAAAUUUGUCCUGCGUAAGUCUUGAAUAAGAAACUGAUCCCGUAUGUUCUCGGGAAUGCCCUUAGAUGACUGUUUCCUUUUGUCAGUUCUGAAAGACAGAGGAAUUCCUGGGAAUUCAGUGUCAGAAGCUGGUGCCAGAGAAUGAGUCACUCAAGAUGUGUUUCUGAGUGUACCUGGCUUUUCCUGGAUUGCCUCUUGUGUGCUGUUCGAUUUCCUGAUAAAGCAGCUGGUCUGUGCAGUGGCACCUUUGUCUUUUUUUGCUUUUAGACAAUAAAAUUAAGGCUUAUUAUGUACAGUAAUUCUAGUCAGCAAAUAGUUGCAUGAACAGCAGGUAUGCUCUGUACUGCUUUAUAUAAGGAAGGAAUUUCCUUUUCCAUACCUUACUGGUCUCAACUUGAAAUACAAGGUGAAGUUCACUUUUACCAUUUCUCACUAUUAUAGGUAACAGGAUAUCAAAAUCAUAUGAGAAAAGUUUAACCUGAAAUUAGGUUUUGUUAAAGAAAUCUUAACAAAGUUAUUUUGAAUAAGUAACUCUAUGCACAUCAAAACCAACUAUUAUAAUGUGUGAGAAGUGUCAUAUAGUGUAUGAACAAAAGUGUUCAGAUACUACCUAGAAACAAAAAUGAGAUGAAGCAGAUGGUAGGAAACCGCAAAGAAGGAAAGGUGAACUGUAUAGUUAGGUUAGAUUAAAUGUGCGUAGACAUAGAUAUAUUUAAAAAACAUUUUAAAACAUGAUUUAUAUGUAGAGUUGGUAAGAAUCAUUCCACUGAAUGUAGUAGUUAUAUCUCUGACUUUAGUGCAACUAAUAUAAGAGCGAGACUCUAUGUUUAAAAGUAAUUCUCUGUGGACAAGACUAUAAAACAUAUUGGGACAGGCAGGAGGGUACUGUCACUUCCCAAUAGUGACAUAUGCUGAAUUUGCAAAAAACUGUAUUUUUUACAUGUGAACUCCAGAUGUUCAGCCAGUCAUGCUGUAUUUUUUCCCUGUUGUCUUAAGUCACCACUAAUUGUCCUGGAGGGUAAGUCAUGACAUAAUCACACUUAGGAAAUACUCCAUUGCCUUGAGCUGCUUUACCUGAGCAGAACUGGAUAGAAAUUAGUGAUGCUCUUGCUGCUGUAGGCUAAAACAAUCACUAGCAGCUCACACUUCCUUUGCUGUUGAAGGGGACUAAAAAUGAGUAACAGUUUAUUUUCCCUAAUGAAAUAAUCUGAUCGACUCGCUGCUACACAAGAUGCCCACCUUAGAGCAGUACGUGCAUCUGAGAAUCCAGAUUUCAUGCUGAGCACAUAGAAUGUUUAUGCUUCUGUGACUCAUAGAUUAACAAUAAUUAUAAGCUGCAGUCAUGUUUACACUUCUUCCAUGGGAAGGGUAAACAUCCUUUAUAUACAUUACUGUAUGGGAUGUUCUGAUAAUUUAAUGUUCGACAUAUUUUACAGUUGGAAUUGCAGACUCAUUGAGAGGUCAGCUCAAGGGCAUUCAGGAUUCCCGAAAUCUGAUGAACUCAUUGCAGUGACAAACAUACGUAGCCAUCUCUCUGUGUUAGGGUUCUGAUUUGGAUCACAAUGUUCCUCUUUCAGUCUUGUUUUCUGUUUAUACACAUAAAAAUAUGUAGUGGCAAAAUAGAACGUGUUUUAUUUAUUUCUAAUGUAAGCUUUUUCCCGUGUGUAUUAUUUUUGCACGGUUUGAACUUUGGAGGAUGUCAAAACCAAAAGUGUUCUGAUACUUAGGGCAGAGUCCCAGACCCUGUGUUCCAAUUCACAGUAAGGCUGAAAUAACCAAAAUGAAGAGCCGUGACACUGGUCGGAUCCCAAGCAGUCCUUUUACUUUUCCCCAAUAAAUAUUUCUUUCACGUUUAUUUGGACUAGGGUGGUUCAGUCUCAUCUGUAUGUGUGUUGGUAGAGAAGCAGGAUAUAUACAUGUAUGUAUGUCUCACAAGUCUUUAGACUAAGGGGGUCAAACUCAUUUUCACCGGUGGCCACAUCAGCCUGGCAGUUGCCUUCCAAGGGCCAGAUGUAAUUUUAGGACUCUAAAUGUAAUUUUAGGACUGCAUAAAUAGUCCUAAAAUUACAUUUUUGCAAUUCACCUUUCUGUGCAUGCUUACUGGUCCUGUAUUGGAUAUUCCCUGCACCAAGUGUUUAGAUAUUGCAGGCCCUGCUUUAUUUUCUUCUGGAUAUAUUUACUUUUUGCAGUUUCUCUUCUGUUUGCCCAUGGCACAAUAGUACCAGUUCACGGGGUGUGGAUUUUAUUUCUGUUGCUGAUGCUGUCUCUUGAUCUGAGAAGUUCAAGCAGUGUUCUUGGUACUUUAGGAAGCUGUAUUAAGACAUAACUGUGAGCUGUAAUUUCUUUAUAGGAAUGCAAAAAGCUCUGUUGGUUGAAUACAAGUUGUCAACAAUUGAAGACGGUUUCCUACUCACAGGCUUAGACCACUACAGCUGCCACUCCUACUUAGGAGCGAGUUACUUCUUUGAGCUCAUGGUUCACAAAGUUAGAGGUUAGCCCGUGUCUGUUUAUUUUUGGUGGACAGCGCAGGGUAUGCUCCCUUGUAUUUAUUAUAGGACAUUUUUUUCCAAAAACUGAUGCUUUGAAAUACUGCAGACAAACCUUUUUUUGGGUUGCAGGAAACACUUCCCAACUCUGAGAUUCUUAACAUGUGAUCCAUAUUACAGUUUCUUUAGGGAUUAUGUAUAUACUGAUUGAAUUUUUGGCUUUCAUUAGUAUAGAGUGCCAUGAGUUUUCUGGUUUCUGUUAUUCACCUUUCCACAAGGCCCAGGCAAUUUUAAAGCUAAACUGAGGGAAACAAACAAACAAACAAACAUAUAUGUAUGCCAUUCAGUUGCAUUCAGUUGCAAGACUGGAAACAAAAGGUCUCAGGUGAAAACCUAAUUGUUUGUGAAUUUGUUUUAUGCAUUAAUGUUGUGUAAUGAAGCUUCAGAAGGCAGGCUGCACAGUGCCUCUGAUCCAGACCGCUCAUUCUAACUGCAACAAAAUCACUUUACAUAUUUCUGAUGUUUAGCUUUUCUGACCUAGAGAGCAAACAGACCUCCAGAGUUUGAUGAGAGAAAUGUUUGAUUUUUAAAUUUCAUUUUAAAUAUUUGUUUUAAAAGGAUGAUUGGGAGAGGUAAUUUCUUAAGGCUAAUGGGAACCUCAGAAGAAAUUGUAGUUGAGUAGAAAGUAUAUACAUAAAUCAGGAAAAAGGAAAUGUUUGAGGCUUCUUAGUAUGUCCUUGGUACUAGAUGGUGAAAUAGUUUUCAGAACUAGAAUGUUGAAGAAGGGUUGUGAGGAAUUCAGUGAAUGGAACAAGAAAGUGGAAGCAUCCUUGGCACGCCGUUGACUCCCCUCCUACACAUGGUGCCAUUUCCACAUAAAUAACGUUUACCAAAAUUCUGAUUAGCGUCCACUUGAGAGGCAAGAAACGGAAAUGGUGAUGUUAUGUUCCUCUGGAGCUUCAUCUAUAAAGCAGAAAAUCCAUCAAUCAUCCUGGCAGGACAGGGAAAAGCAGUUUGCAGCAGUUUUAAAUUCAAGUAAUUGAUGUAGUGGUUUUUAGACUGAAGUGAAGAAAUAAUGCCAUAUAGAUAUCACCUGCUUGAAACUCCAGCUCUUGUUUCAAUAUAUUAUUGUCACAAGCAAGAGUAAGGAUAUUCAUAGUAAUAGAAGAGUUGUCCAUUACACUUGAAGUAGACGGGCAUUUUGAAACUUUCUGGUCUCAAAAAGAACUCAUGGAACAUGAAAAAAUAGUAUUUCCGAGGAGUCUGCAUGCCAGUAUCAGUUCAGCCUUAGCACUAUAUAUGAGUCUAACGUGGAUUUACAGAUAAAUGUGUGGAUUAUAGAAGAUUAACUCGGCAAACCACAUGAAGAAAACCACGUAUUUAUUGAAAGUGAUAACUCCUGAAAAAAGCCACUGUGGCUAUUUUUCUUGGCUAAAUUUGUCUGAGAUAUCACCAUGUGGCACAAGAACUUACACUUAUGGUACAGGGAAUGAUGCCUGUUUCGGAUCUUUUGGGCUCUAAAUGAAAUGUUUUCUCCAUUUAAUUAUAUUUAUGUAAUAUGUAACGAUUGCUGCUGGGUUAAUGUACAUUUUAGAGCAGAUGGCUGUUUGUUUGGCAAAAUUAUUUUACCACCUUUUUGCCCUAAGCUGUAGAGGAAGGACCACCGGGAAACGUAGCUGUAUGGUUUUCAUUACAGUUUCUGAUGGGAACUACUAAUUAACUGAACUACUAUUUAACUGAACAAAUGGAGAGUCCAGCACAUAAUGGAGUAGAUUUGAGAAUGUAAUUUGAGGAUUGAUUGACACUGAUUUCCAGUGUCCCUUCCCCUGAGUUUACUGCUUGACGUUGAGUAAGUCUUGUGACAUCUCCAUUUGCUUUGCCAUCUGAACUUUGCACUAAUGACAACACUGACUUACUGUCGUAAAUGUUUUAAAGGUUAAAAGGCUGCAGAAUAUUAUGUAUUUGGUCCAUGAAAUGAAGAUCAUACUCAGUUUUUACUUAUUUAAUCUUUAGAUAAAAUCUCAAACAAGUUAACAGAAUGACAUCAGUACCUGACGCAUUAUGACUUUUUAUUGAUAAGCUUAUCUGCUUGUGGCUGAACUGCUUAGAAGUCAGCUGUGAGAAAGUUAAUUAUGUUAGGCCUUGGAUAAACAAAAUAAUAAAUGAUCUCUACACUGGGAUCCUUUACAUGCUGGCUUCUUUGGGAGCUAGUCUUAAGUGAGUUCUAUUUAGUACAAUUGUGACAUCCCAGUUCAAGUGUGUGCAGAUACACAGACACCUUUAAAAGGACAAAUUUCAGAAACACCGUUUUUGGACUUUAAGGAUUUCCACCAAAAUCACGGUUAUCGUGUACCGACUUAGGGAAUAUUCCUGUUUCUCUGAGAGCUGGUUGAAAUAUUGUCAUAAUCUGAAAUUUACUGAAAUGAUAUCUUUGAAGCAAACGUAAAGAUGCUGUUGCAAGAGUGUUAUGGCUUGGAGGGAGACUCAGAGUUUUUGUUGGAUCCUCUGAUAUAGCUGGAAAAAAAAGAUCUUUUGAGACCAUCUCUGCCUCCUCAAAGUGGCUGGUCUGUCUCUCCCUACAAACUUUGCUUCUAUUCUAUCUGUAGACCAUCACAUUUGUAUUAUAACUGCUAUGACUUAUAGAUAAAACUACUUGUAGUAGGUUUUUUUUACCUGAUUUCUGAAAUGAUGGUGACGGCCAUUAGCUGACCCAACAGCUUUAAAAAACAAAACGUGAUCUCCCCCAUCUCUUAUUUCCCGUGAGCUCUCCAGGAAGUGUCUCAGAAUGAAAGAAAAGCUAUGAAUUUGCCAGAUAAUGAAUCAGGCUCUUGGUUCAUUGUGCUUUCCUGUAGACAAAAUUAUAGGUUUCUUGUAAAUUUAAAGGAAGUGGAGUGAAGGAGUUCACUUUCAUGAUACUGAGGGCAGCCACACGGUUGAUCAGCGGUUGAGGAGAAAGCUGUGCUUUGGGUAUCACUGAUUUCCAGAGGCACUAGUGGAGCCUGGUGGGUUGUCCCCAGCUGGCAGGUCACCCCCCACCCAGACACUUGCUCACUCCACCCCCCAGCAACACAGGGGAGAGGACUGGAAGGGCAAAUGCAAGAAAGACUUACGGGCUGAGAUAAGGACGGUUUAAUAAGGUCACAAAUCUAACCCACAGCACUGUAUGGGCUGCUGUGAAGAAAAUGAGCCCCACCCCAACCAGAGCCAGUGCAAGAAGUGGCAAAGUGUAACUUCAAAAAACAGAGGCUGGGGAGGACACCGGCAUUUUGUUAGCAUUUACGUGGGUCUUGCAAUUUUCGUUUAAUAGAAGCAGGCAAGCAUUUGUUUCUCAGUUUUGAAUGGGGAAACCUGAAGCAUUAAGUUAUCAAGAGAUUUGCUCAAAGUUGCAUAUAAAAUCAAAAGACCAUGAGCUGAAGAAGCAUUAAAUGCUUGAGCUACAAAACAUUGAAAAGACUUUAGAAAAGAGUACAAAUACACAAGCAAUUUUGUAGAUGUGAUGUCUGAUAAAAAUAGGAUCAGAAUUCAUUUAUUACUAUGGCUAAUAGAAGAAAUCAUGUUUAGUAUACUUCGAAAACAAAAUUUGUUUCUUUCCGAGGCUCACUAAUGGAUUAAUGUCAAUCUAAACUAGACGAUUAUACUAGGAAUAACUUUCCAGCCUCUCCUUUUCCCAUCUCCGUUAGUCAUGUCGCCAACCUCAGCAAAAUUCUGAGAAAUACAUUCCUGCAGAGCUAUAUAAUGCAAAUGGAACCGGACUCUGCCAGAGCAGCGCCUUCCAAAUUUACCUGCACAUCUCCAUAACAACUGCAGGGUGUUUUUUGCUUUUGCCACAGGGCAACAAUAAUACCUGUUAUGUCAAUGGCUUUCCUCUAGCUCUUCUGACAGAGCACAUGACAUUCAAAGUGCUGUUAACCCCAGGGUGAUCCCUAUGUAUUUAUUCCUGCACCAGGCAACAGGUGGGAUUGCAGAAGAGGGAUCUUAUGUGCUUGGGCAGAGGCAAAUAGAACUGAAACUGGCUUUCAUGUAUGUUGUGUGAGGACUGCUGUGAGAAAAGGAUUUUCCUGAUGGUUUGAGAGCCUCGUGCUCCUUCAGGUGCCCCGUUGGAAAGAAGAGACGCUUUAGCGUGGAGCAGUGAGGUGCUGUCCAUGCUCUUAGUGCAGCUUGCAAACCGCUUGCUGCGGUUCCAGUCUGGAGCUGGUUUGUCCUGCGGUGCUGCUGGGACUGCCUGGAAGUUCAUAGGCUGCUCCUCCCUGGUGCGCAAAUGCUGUGAGCCUUGCUAGAGGAGUCAGCCUGAUGCUGAUUUGGUCUGUAUCUGUCCUGCUACGGCCUUAGUCUUACAAAGAAACCUGGAUUCUUCAGGAUCCAUGGGUGCAGAUAGCGGGAAAGGGCCCUGCCCGCCUCUCCAAAUCCCUCUGCUCCUCUCCUUGUACAGAGGCUUCCCUGUGUGUGGAAAUGGGUAAUUUCCACAGUUCUCUCCAGCCCUCUGAGAGUGUCAGCCUUGCAGGGACUGUGCCCCGUUUGCCUUGUCUGUAGACUGGAUGGGUUUAGCUAAAUGCAUCAUGAGAUGUGGUAGAGUGAAGUGGUGGAAUGGGGAGGCGAUCCCUUUCUCAAAGGGCAGCACGCUCAAUAUGAUGGGGACUGGCAAAAGUGUAUUAUUGCUGUUACUUCAGAUGAGCAAUGCUGAGUAAUUUGAAUACAUAUGUGUGCCAUUUAUGGUUCUUGAUUUCAAAUCUGCGUGAGAGACAUACUUCAUUUUCUCAGCAUUUUCUCACUAUUUUGAAAGUAAUAUGAUAUUGUUUGAUCCUUGCAGAAGAUAAGAUGGGAAGACGUGUGCAUGUAGCAACUCGUAUGGAAGCAAACUGGGAAAUACCUGCACUACGUGUGUUUGAUGCAAAUACGUGAUCUUGGCUGGUGAUGAUCCAAAGUAUGAUGUUGUGGCUUAACAUGCAGAAGCCAUCUUGCCACUGCUACAGGGCAUAGCAUUCAAAGAGGUUGUUUUUCCAUAUAUUCCCUCCUUCACUGAAGCAGAGAAAAAUAGCCAGCAAUGGUGUGGAGGCUUGUAGUGCUGGGGGUUGUAGCAAAAGGCCUUGAGAACAGGCCUCCUUCACACACCUUUCAUCCCUGAAAGUCAAGCUGGCAGAUUGCGCUGCUUCCCAGGCUGCGUGAUGCAGCAUCCAGGUGUUGGAUGGAUCACACAAAUCUGACAUAGCUUAAACACUGUAUGGAGACACAGCCAAUCUUUGGUUCAUGUCCCUAUUUUUUUACACAAGGAGCCAGAGAACUUUAAAGUUCCCUGGUGUUGGAAAGUCUCUACAAAUAUUAAGAAUGAACCAUCUUAAGACACUGGAUUCAGAGCUUUUCCUACAGCCGGAAAGUGUUGAAGGUGGGGUAUUGUUUGUUUUAUUAAGGUAUCCAAAAUAAUGAAAGUACUGCUUUGUAUUCUCUGGAUUUCUGUGUAUGUAGCCUGAGGCACAUAGCACAUGCCCUGGCACAUGGUUUUGGGCAUAUAACUCCUCCUUUCAGCAUACCCUUCAUAAGAGGCUGCUAGUGAGGCUACUGAAAGAGGAAAAACAUUAGUGAAAUCAUGUACAUAUUGUCUGACCAUUGAACAAAUAUGCCUCUGAACUAUGCUCUUAAAGAUAUUUUAUCACCAAAAGACACCCAGGAGCAUGCUAACACAGCAGCAGACUGGGUAACUGAGAGGUGAGUGUACAGGAGCAAACCAGCUUAAUAAUGGAAUGAAUCAACAAAUCUUUAUAAGGAGAUUGCUUAUCAUAGUAUCUAAGCUGCUGCUAGUAGUGUAAAGUAACAGAAAUUAACUUCUGGCAUUCGCUCUGGUAUAUUUUUCCCAAGAAAAGCUUGGAUUACUUUACUUGCCACAUGUCUGCUGUUGAUUUUUGUUUGAAAUCUGUGUGUUGCACUGUAUUUGGGAGAAGUGGAAGCUGAAAAUUUGCUGUAUGCUUGAAAAUGAUUAGCCUGUAUAUACUGAGAGGAUUGUCAACAUUUAUCACUGGCAAUCUUCUAGCGUUGCCAUUUAAAAUUCUAAAAGCUGAUGUCAAACCUCAAUAAACUUCUGUGGGGAGGUCAGAAUACAUGCAGUGACAUCCUGCCUUGUGCAUAUCCUUCCAUAAAUGAUGCCGGGCUCCCUUAGCACACCUCUGUGAAGAACAUCUCUACUUGGAUGUGCUCAACUUUCACAUUAAUCUGUGAGUCAUGUUAAUGUUUAGCUGCGUAUCUCGUGUCACGCUGAUUUACAUACAACAGUCAGGCUAUUAAUGUCUAUUUAAUGAACCAGGUGCAUCACUUCCUAGACGCUUACUGAGGAAAUGAGGUGCGAUGUAGCUGUAGGACAUGGUCUUUGAUUUCUUACAGUUUGCAUUGUUCUGAGCUUUGUUUUCAGUUCUAUUUGUGCAGCAAAACACAGUGAGUAUUGAAGUCUCUGAGCCAAUGCAGGAAAAGCAGAAGCUGUAACACAGCAGUUUGAGCCAUCAGGGUUCGGUGCUCAAGACUGUCACGUUUCUUGUUCUGGAGGUCCCCAGUUCAGCCCUUGAUGUGUCAGCCAGGAAAGUGGCUGUCACAGCUGUACUCGUGACUUUCUGAAAUGUUCUCACCACCAAACGAAAUUAGACUGAAUCUGGACUUAACCAUGUCAGUGGCACUACGGGAAAAUGUCAUGGAACAUUUUGGUAUGGGUAAGGACGGAGUCUGAAACUGAGACUUAAUCAUUGACUCUUGAAUAUUUACAGGACACUGUUUGUGUGGCUUUCCCGUUCAUGUGACGCUGCAAACCGAGAGGAGCGAUUCCCCGUGCUGUGCAUGACUCUGCAGUUGUGUGAUGGCUUUGCUGCAUGAGGCAGCUGGGGAUGUAAAAAUAGCUCUGCUUACUCACAUACAGCUGAUGAUUGCAGAAAAACACCGCUCGGGGGUAAGGCUGGAACACCUUGUGCUUCUUUCCCAUUACCAACAGCAAAUGGAAAGCAAGGUGAAAAAACAUGGGGGGAGCACUUGCAUUUUCUUUUCAGCAUUUGUUUUUUUCUUAUUCCUUUUUGUGGGAUCAGGUAUUUCUUACAGUAUGGAGGUCCAGCCAUUUCUUACUCCUGUGCUGUUUGCUAGGGUGAUCUGUCCCAUGUUUCUGUAAUUCAGGAUCUUUGUAAGGACAAACAGUUUUUAUUCCUUUGAUCUGUCCAUCUCAGUCACCUUCCAGAUCCACUCACAUACCCACCGGUGUCAUUGCAACGUACAGAACAUCCCAUUGCCUCAAUGUGUCAUUGCCAUGUAAAUGCAGAUUUUCUCUGAAAGUUAAUUACAAGGCUUUUAAAAGAAUCUUUUUCAUAUAAACAUUCCACGCUAAAAAUGUGUUUCCAUGGUAUUAUAAAAUUUUGUAUAGGAAUAGAAAUUAUAUUACAAUCAUAGGAGCUGGUUAUAUAUUGUUCUAGUUAGACACACGCGCGGUGUAUAAUGUACAGUCUUUGCACUGAUCACAGAAUCACAGAAUUGACUGGGUUGGAAAAGACCUCAGAGAUCAUUGAGUCCAACCCUUGGUCCAACUUCAGUCCAUUUACUAGAUCAUGGCACUAAGUGCCAUGUCCAGUGUCAGUUUAAAAACCUCCAGGGACGGCGAGUCCACCACCUCCCUGGGCAGCCAUUCCAAUGCCUGAUCACUCUCUCUGGAAAGAAUUUCUUUCUAAUAUCCAGCCUAAAUUUCCCCUGGCAGAGUUGAAGCCCAUGCCCCCUUGUCCUAUUGCUGACUGCCUGGGAGAAGAGACCAGUCCCCACCUGGCUAUAACUUCCCUUCAGAUAGUUCUAGAGAGUGACGAGCUCACCUCUAAGCCUCCUCUUCUCUAGACUAAACAAGCCCAGCUCCCUCAGCCUCUCCCCAUAGGUCUUGUGUUCAAGUCCCUUCACCAGUCGUGUUGCUCUUCUCUGGACCCGCUCCAGCACUUCAAUGUCUUUCCUGAACUGAGGGGCCCAGAACUGAACACAAUACUCCAGGUGUGGCCUCACCAAUGCAGAGUACAGGGGAAGGAUCACUGCCCUUGUCCUGCUGACCACGCUAUUUUUGAUACAGGACAGGAUACCGUUGGCCUUCUUGGCCACCUGGGCACACUGUUGGCUCAUGGUGAGCUUCCUGUCAAUUAGUACCCCCAGGUCCCUUUCUGCCUGACUGAUAUAACAUACUGGAGAAAUCUAGAUGAUAAAGUGCAUCAAUCUGUGCGUUCAGUUGAGUCCCUCAUUCUCUUCCAGAGUACUAAUGAUUUUUUUAGUUACUCUGAAGCCAUAAAUAGAUACUUAGUUCUUGAGCUUGGGCUUUCAGGUUUAUUUCAUGUAUAUCACAACCCAACCUAAGUCAGUAUAUUUCAAUCUGCCGAUAACUAUCGAGUCCCGUUUGAAACAGUUUUCAUUCCAAAAGAUUACGGAUUGCACCCAUUUACUUCAGAAAUCCUGUGAGUCACUGCAUUGAAGAGAAACUGAAAGCGCCCUUCUAAUAUUUUUUAAUCAAUUUCUACAGUAGUACCCAGAUAGUUCACUAACGGGUCAGGACUCCACAGGCUCUUCAUGUGUCACUGAGGCACCAGAGAUCAAAGUUCUGACUCCACGCAGCUGGAAGUCACGAUAAAAAGAUCACGUUACAAUGAGUUCCAAGGUCACUUUCUGGUUACGUUUCUCCAUUUAAAUAAAAAGAACAUAGCAAGAAGGAUGGGAAGAUUACUGUAGGGGUGUUAGCAGGAAAAUGACCAGUGAAAAACCUCCAAGGUAGAUUAGUCACAAGAAAGCAAGCCUGUGGGUUUAUGUACUUUCAGUCAACAGGAUUUCAUUAUUUACAGGAGCGUUUCCGUAGUGGUUCAUGGUGGAGAAAAGUUUUCAGUGGCCUUCAAGAAAUGAAACCAGCAAAUUCUGGUAAUCUGUAUAUUUUUAUUGGGCUGAUAUCCUUCUCAAAACAUAAGUUAUUUCCAUCUUUAUUACAUCUUUAUACAGCUGUAUCAAAGCUGUAAUAUGAAGAGGUCCAAAUCAUAUUUUACAGUAAGAUUUGUAAACAUUUCCCCGUUAGCAAUUGUUCCUUUUCUCUGUCUCACUUUUGUACUUUUUGUGAUCUAAAUAGGGGGGUGUGACAUGUUUGGUUUUCAGUAAAGUAAAAGGAAGUACAUACAGUGAGUUUACCAAGUUUGUCACCCCUGGCUAAUAAAUUAAGUUGCCUCAUCUUUGUGGAAGCCACACUUUCCCAAUAGUCUUCUAAUUCAAUAUUGAAAAGAAGAAAAAUCCCUAUAGCCUAAUUAAUAGAUGUGUUCAGUGGAGCCCUUUAUAAAAUGUUGAAUAAAGCAAAACAUCCACUUACCAGGAAACCGCUGUAGGUUUCAUUUAACAUUUCUUGAACUUUAACUAAACAUUCUAGAAUGUUUAUCUGGCUCAGUAGAAAUACACUGCAAAUUGCUAUUUCUUAGUAAUAAUAAUGUUACUGAGCACUCUUCAGCUGCUUUUCACAGGUAAGGAAGUAUUCUUAUUCCCCUUUUAGUGAUAGGAAUCCUUGGAUGAAGAAGAAUUAAGGGACAAUUAAAAAAUAUAAGCAGAGAAAAACACGUGUGUUAAAACAUAACAGAUGCCAAAUAGAUACAUUUAAUCUAGAUAUAAGUGGGGGGGAGGGUGUCAGAAAGAACAGAGUGAGACAAAAUUAAAUCUGUUGUAGUACCUCUUCAUUGCAAAGACACACUGUUCUGUUUCGUAUUGAUGUCCUGACAGCGUCAUUCAUUUUUCCAUACUAUUUCUACAUGUUUUUCUCUAGAAAGAAUCAAAAACGCAAAGCCAAUAAGUGCAUUCACAUUGAGAACAGAAUGUGCUCUUUCACGAGUUUCGUCUGUGUCAUCGUUUUCCCAUAAUGUAUGUUACAUUUUACAUGCUGCCUCUCAGUUUCCUUCUUUACUACCAGUAAAAGCUGCCAUGUUUUUAGUAAUGCUAUUUCCUGUAGCCAAUGUAGGAAAAUACCUCCAAUUUUGUUCUAGAGAAGGAGGCAAAUUCUAUACCAGAAAUUCAGUUCUUCCUCUCACAGAUUUCUUCUAAUGUAAUUUCAAAUAAGCCUAACCUGUGCUUCAGAACCAGCUAACUUAAACUUACCAUGGGAAAGCCAUUGAAACUAAAUUUAUCAUUCAUCUGAGUUUAUACUCACAGCCUGAAUCUGAUGUCCUUUCCCACAAUCACUCAGGUUUCUGUUUCUGUCCUGAACUCUUUCAUUUUUAGCUCUCAGCCACUUCCUUUCUAUUAUUAUGAUCGUACCAAUCCUGUUGGUGUACAGUCACAUUUAAUGUUGAUUUAUUUUAAAAAGAAUGAAAAAAAAUUCCAUCUGACUGCUCAGAAGUCAAACAUCAUGGAAGAAGCUGAGAAGUGAUGCUGUUAGAAAAAUCUCAGCUGCUAUUCAGCAGUUUCAGUAAAAUACUGAACAUGGUUCAGAGAAGCAGGACUUGAUCAUGGCCAUCUUCAUUUGUAAAUGGCAUCUCUGAGAUUGUUCAUAAAAUGUCCUUUACAAUAAUAUUGAAGAGAUUAAUCACAUAGUUUCCAUAUUUUUAUCAGUUUUCUUGCUUUCCUUGUUUGCAACUGGCAGCUUAGGAGUGGAUGGCAGCAGAGGGAAACAGUGAAAAUUUUGAGUCUUCUACUCCCUUUUCACAGCAUUUUUCUGUUGUUUGAUGUUCUGGUUUUUCUCCAGGUUUCCAGGUAUCCAGAUUCAGUGAGUUUAGUUUUCUGGCUCCUACUUCUGGUGAGAAAAGCAUCCCCAGCAAGAACAUAGCUAUUGUGUAGAUUUUGCUUAAACUCUCACAAUUUAACCCUGCCAGGUGGAUAACAUCACCAAGCCAACCCCGUCCUUCAGCUGGUAUUGGUGAUCCAGCAAUCACGUAGCCCAGAGCUGUCAAGUGCUGCGUUUGGCCUGUUGAAGGACUAGUGGACCCACCACUCCUGGCAGUGGACAAGCCUCCCGGGUGACACUGCUUCUGCCUGUAUGUCUGGGAGCAGCAGCAGUUCUGCUGGUACCUCUGCAGUCAGCGUGUCCUGCAGUGGGACAUCCAGGACAGCCUGCUGGGCCACCUGCCUGUGACAAACAGCCGGCCCUGUCUGUAUCCCAGGUGGUGAUGCCACUAACGGGGAUCAUCAGCUCAUGGUUGCGUAGCGGGCAUGUGUGUCUGAACAUGCACAUGUGUGUGUAUUUUGAAUUUUGCUUUAUUUGCCUUUCCCACACAUUCAUCAGAACUGAGAUAGCAAAGACAUUAUCGUUUUCCCUGACUUACAGAGCACUUGUUAUCAGCAUCAUCCCUGCUCUGUGUGUGCUGCAGUGUGGUUUUCUGGGGCUGACUCUGGCACUCAUUGAUCCUCACAAGAUAAGAAUUCCUACCCAGUUAGCAAAGUCCCUUGACUGAAGUGCCCAUGCUCUGAAGUUUUCAUUUGAUUCAGAUACACAUUUUUGCUCUAAAUCCACAGUGCAUCCAAGGUUCAUUGUCAUGAAAACAACCAUAGUUGUGAUGACACACUCUUUAAAAUCAGUAACGUCGCCUGGCUGUGGAAGGCAGCGGUGGCUUUGGACAGGCUUAGAUUUGAGGUUGUUAAUCAUUACUAUGUUUGGUUUCUUAAUCAUUAGAAUAUUUUGUGAGGCACAGCUCUGCGCUGUGACUUCACAUCAUCUUUCUGUCGUCCUUCCCCAUGGGGUGGGUGCUUCCCCUCGUGCUGAGUUGUCCUGGGAAGGAUUCUUGAGAAGCACGUGGGGAGUUUCACAUACCCUGUUAUGUAAAGGUAACGUAACACACAUAGUCCGUGUGUAGGUCACAUCAGUCAUCGGGGUGAUUUCUAGUUGUGACUGCACUGACUUGAAACUGGUUAUAAGAGUAUCAGAUGAUUGGCGUGAAUGUGUGUCAUGUCACUAUCAAAACAAUUCUCUCUGCUGUCAUUAGUUGUGAGCUUCUAGUUCACAUAACCUGUUUCCUCAAGAGCUCUGCAGCUGGAAAGUCUGAUUUGUUUGUCAGAAGAAUUAGGUAGAUGGAGCGCAAUAAUUUGGAUUGAAAUUGCUUUGCAUCAGUUUGCUUUCUUUUUUACUGAUUUAAAAAUAAAAGUAAAGGUUUUUCAUCAAAAGCAAAAAGGUUAACAUAAAAUUAAAAAGUAAGUUGGAAGGAUUCACAGAAAUCGCAGUGCAGAUUCGCUAGCCCACUUUAAAAAAGCCUCCUUUCAUGAAUUUAGGCUGUUUUAUGGUCCUCGGGCUAUUAUAAGCCCUGUGCUUUGAGUCAUGUGUGCCAAGUUUUGAUAUUUUCUAGUUUUUUAACAUAUUUGCCAUAUGUCUUUCAGGUUAGAUAGCUUGAACUUUGAAGUUCACUGAUUUGAUAUCAUAUUAGUCCUCUGGUUUACUAUCCCCUUCCAUUCCCUCAAUCCUUCACCAUUUAAUCUACUAUUUUAUCAGCUGAAUCUUACCUUCUCUUGUACGGUCUUGGGGCACAAUGGAAAUUAGAUCUGAGACUCCUCUUCAAGCCUUUGCCCUACUGUAAAACAACAUAAAGUCAACACCGUUAAUUAAUGGAAAGAAUUGAUUUAAUCAUUGUCUUUGCUGAAAAAAAAAACAGUUUCUCCUGUUCAACAAUUUUCCUCUUUGCAGUCCAGCAGGGACUUUGCCUGAUGAAAAAGCUGAACAACAUGACUCAUGAAAUUACAUACAGGCUUCAAUUUGUGUAUUAGUGGCCUAUUUGAAAAUAGUUUAUGCUGUUCACAAGCAUAAAAUUUAAGUUUUCUAUAAGCUUUUUGCAAGAUUAUGAGGCCUUGGUAUAAUAUUUGUGCUGGUAUUGUUUAGACAGAUGAAAUUAUAUUUCAGUUAACCUUGAAUAAAGAAAAGGGCAAAUAAAAGCAGAGGAGGAUUUCAAAUUAGAAGCUAAACUAUUGCUAUUCAGCAUUAAAUAUACUUUUGCAGAAAAAUGUUCUCUAGAUUUUCGUUUCUACUUAAACUGCCCGUGUAUUAAACUAAUAGCUGCAGAAUGCUCUAGAAUAACUGUAUUUUGGAUUAAAAAGUCUCCAUUCUUUUCCCACACUUGUGCAGAAGGUUACUGGGGAAAAUGCCAAGCUGGGGAACUAGAAGUUACCAUGUAAACAUAUACCUAAUAAUAUAUGUGUAAAUAUACAUAUAUGUAUACACACCACAGUAGUGUUGACCAUGUUCUUUUCCUGUUCUUGUGUCCCAGUAUGAUACUUUGGGAAAAGUAACAAAUACAGUAUUCAGAAGAACAGAACACAUAUAAAAUCAACACAGAAAAAAAUGGCAAGUCCAGUAUUUCCAAUGUUUCUAAUCUGUUCUGUUGUCUAAGGCCUUAUUUGAUAAAUAACCAAUGUUCUUUUCUUUUCUUCUCUUUGCCAGAGUCCUACACUCUCCUGGGACCUGACUGCAACUUAAAAAAUGUGUGAUAAUAGCAUAAUAAUAAACAAAUAGCACUUGCUUAUCUGUCUUGGAAGGGGCAUCUGAGCACCUCUGGCUUCAGCCCAUCUGCUGCUGGAGGGACAGGGAGGUGACACAGAGCAGGGGGACCUGCAGAUCCCUCAGACCUCCCCUCUUCUGUCCCACCUGUGUGGAAAGCUCAGAAUAAAUCACCUCAUCCACUUUCUUCC